This 502-nucleotide ribosomal RNA is filed under the name uncultured Oscillibacter sp. Its description in RNAcentral is "bacterial SSU rRNA". It matches the Rfam family "Bacterial small subunit ribosomal RNA", at positions 1 to 507 of the family's 1533-position model. Lineage: Bacteria; Bacillati; Bacillota; Clostridia; Eubacteriales; Oscillospiraceae. The record is from RNAcentral.
UAGAGUUUGAUCCUGGCUCAGGACGAACGCUGGCGGCGUGCUUAACACAUGCAAGUCGAACGGGGUGCCUAUGAAAGAGAUUUCGGUCAAUGGAUUAGGUUACUUAGUGGCGGACGGGUGAGUAACGCGUGAGGAACCUGCCUUUCAGAGGGGGACAACAGCUGGAAACGGCUGCUAAUACCGCAUGGCACAUAUUUAUCGCAUGGUAGAUAUGUCAAAGAUUUAUCGCUGAGAGAUGGCCUCGCGUCUGAUUAGCUAGUUGGUAGGGUAACGGCCUACCAAGGCGACGAUCAGUAGCCGGACUGAGAGGUUGGCCGGCCACAUUGGGACUGAGAUACGGCCCAGACUCCUACGGGAGGCAGCAGUGGGGAAUAUUGGGCAAUGGGCGCAAGCCUGGCCCAGCAACGCCGCGUGAAGGAAGAAGGCUUUCGGGUUGUAAACUUCUUUUAAGAGGGAAGAGCAGAAGACGGUACCUCUUGAAUAAGCCACGGCUAACUACGUG